GAUGAACGCUGGCGGCGUGCCUAAUACAUGCAAGUCGAGCGAACGGACGAGAAGCUUGCUUCUCUGAUGUUAGCGGCGGACGGGUGAGUAACACGUGGAUAACCUACCUAUAAGACUGGGAUAACUUCGGGAAACCGGAGCUAAUACCGGAUAAUAUUUUGAACCGCAUGGUUCAAAAGUGAAAGACGGUCUUGCUGUCACUUAUAGAUGGAUCCGCGCUGCAUUAGCUAGUUGGUAAGGUAACGGCUUACCAAGGCAACGAUGCAUAGCCGACCUGAGAGGGGGAUCGGCCACACUGGAACUGAGACACGGUCCAGACUCCUACGGGAGGCAGCAGUAGGGAAUCUUCCGCAAUGGGCGAAAGCAUGACGGAGCAACGCCGCGUGAGUGAUGAAGGUCUUCGGAUCGUAAAACUCUGUUAUUAGGGAAGAACAUAUGUGUAAGUAACUGUGCACAUCUUGACGGUACCUAAUCAGAAAGCCACGGCUAACUACGU
RNAcentral lists this ribosomal RNA (496 nucleotides) under uncultured bacterium. Its description in RNAcentral is "partial 16S ribosomal RNA". It matches the Rfam family "Bacterial small subunit ribosomal RNA", at positions 28 to 506 of the family's 1533-position model. The record is from RNAcentral.